Molecule: small RNA, 116 nt
Filed under: Salmonella enterica subsp. enterica
Lineage: Bacteria; Pseudomonadati; Pseudomonadota; Gammaproteobacteria; Enterobacterales; Enterobacteriaceae
Description: partial RtT sRNA
Rfam family: RtT RNA
About the family: This family represents a bacterial cis-regulatory element known as RtT RNA. The exact function of RtT is unknown although it is thought that it may be involved in changing the cellular response in relation to amino acid starvation.
Source: RNAcentral
UAUCUCUCCGUACGGGGAAGGAUGAGAAGCUUCGACUAAGGUUCGAUUCGAGCGCAGCGAGAAAGCGUUGCCGCAGGCAACGACCCGAAGGGCGAAGCGCGCAGCGCUGAGUAAUC